Molecule: ribosomal RNA, 837 nt
Filed under: Triticum aestivum (bread wheat)
Lineage: Eukaryota; Viridiplantae; Streptophyta; Magnoliopsida; Poales; Poaceae
Description: partial small subunit ribosomal RNA
Source: RNAcentral
AUGCGGCGCGGCCGAAGAAGGGCAAAACAUUCGCGAAGAAGAACAAGGCGGCGGACGGCUCCGACAGCUCGAAGGCGAGGGGAAAGAAGCUUGCAGGGCGUUCGACGGGCGCGGUGGCUACCGAAGCGCCGGCGAGCUCACUCGUUGAGCCGGCCGCCGACGCGCACCACGUGUUAUUUUUUCAAUGCAUCAUCACAUAUAGAUAGCUUAUUUGCAUUGUUCAAAAAACUUUGUAGUCUCAACGAUGAUGCAUACUUGUGAGCUAUGGGUGUUGGGUCCAACAAUUCGCAUUGGUCUCAAACCAAUGACAUCCAUUUUAAAGACCAUGAGUUUGAGGUGGACGAGGAGGGUGAGGGCAUUGUCGACGCGCCGAAAGGAAGAGCGGGCAAUUACACCACCAACGAUGACAAGUUACUAUGCAAUACUUGGUUGCAAGUGUCGAGAGAUCCAUCCGUUGGAGGUGAUCAAAGUAGAGAUGCUUAUUGGGGGCGAAUGAAAGAACACUUUGAUGCUCACAACGUGAGUUGCAUUGACCGCUCCGAGAGAUCACUUCGCUCCCGAUGGUCGACAAUCAACUCAGAUUGUCAAAAGUGGGCGGCCGCACAAAAGGCAGUUGACAAGAUUAACCCAAGUGGCACAAAUGAGGAUGAUAGAGUAAGUGGCAUCUCAUACAUGUUCAUCAUACUUGUUUUUGGUGUCCGAAGUGCUAACUUGUUUUGUUUUUCUUGUAGUACAACAUUGCACAAAACUUGUUCAAAGAAGAGACGAGGACAACCAAGAAGGGGAAGAUCAAGAAAGGAAGGAUCUUCACAUUGCCUCAUUGCUAUGAAGUGUUGA